UGAAGGUAAUGGAAUAUUACUCUACUAUUUUAAAUGAAAAAUAUGAUGAAUACAGAGAAAGAUGGAAAGACUCUCAUGAACUAAAGCUGUAAAGAAAGAAGACAUAUUAAAAAUAUAUAUACAAUGACCACAACAAAGCAAAUGGAAAGAACAAGUACAGAACAACUAAAAGUGAAUGUUGCUGAAUUAUAAAGAAUAAGGUUGGACUUAAAAAUGAAGUCUUAGGAGAUACUGCCCUUUUUUCUCGAUUGAAAUGGGGGAAAGGCAUACACAGAUCCCCAGCUCACCUGUGUAAUACCAAAUAAGGCUUUUGUAGCACACAGAGAUUCAGCAACCAGAUAAGACCUCUAUAACACACAGAGAUUCAGUAACUUGCCCAUGGUUACACAAUUGAAUGCUGGGGUGAAAUUUGAACUCAAGCUCUCUUGACUGCAAGCUGUGCCUCACCUUCUUGUUCAUCUGUAUGACAAAUCCAGAUAUGAACUCUAAUCAGCAAAUGAAGCAUCUACCCAAAUGAGAGUUGGAAUCUGAACAAUAGAAUUCAGCAAGCACCAGCCCUGAAGUCAGGAGGACCUAAGUUUAAAUCUGGCCUCGGACCAAACACUCAACCCCAA
Molecule: long non-coding RNA, 614 nt
Organism: Phascolarctos cinereus (koala)
Lineage: Eukaryota; Metazoa; Chordata; Mammalia; Diprotodontia; Phascolarctidae
Source: RefSeq, a predicted model, not a curated record